AACGAACGCUGGCGGCAUGCCUAACACAUGCAAGUCGAACGAGACCUUCGGGCCUACUGGCGCACGGAUGCGUAACGCGUGGGAACCUGCCCUUAGGUCCGGAAUAACUCCCCGAAUGGCGUGCUAAUACCGGAUAAUGUCUUCGGACCAAAGAUUUAUCGCCUUUGGAUGGGCCCGCGUUGGAUUAGCUAGUUGGUAGGGUAAAAGCCUACCAAGGCGACGUUCCAUAGCUGGGCUGUGAGGAUGAUCAGCCACACUGGGACUGAGACACGGCCCAGACUCCUACGGGAGGCAGCAGUGGGGAAUAUUGGACAACGGGCGAAAGCCUGAUCCAGCAAUGCCGCGUGAGUGAUGAAGGCCUUAGGGUUGUAAAGCUCUUUUACCCGGGAUGAUAAUGACGGUACCGGGAGAAUAAGCUCCGGCUAACUCCGUG
This 433-nucleotide ribosomal RNA is filed under the name uncultured bacterium. RNAcentral describes it as "partial 16S ribosomal RNA". It matches the Rfam family "Bacterial small subunit ribosomal RNA", at positions 29 to 507 of the family's 1533-position model. The record is from RNAcentral.